RNAcentral lists this ribosomal RNA (342 nucleotides) under Vibrio parahaemolyticus. Its description in RNAcentral is "bacterial SSU rRNA". It matches the Rfam family "Bacterial small subunit ribosomal RNA", at positions 129 to 473 of the family's 1533-position model. Lineage: Bacteria; Pseudomonadati; Pseudomonadota; Gammaproteobacteria; Vibrionales; Vibrionaceae. The record is from RNAcentral.
CCCUGAUGUGGGGGAUAACCAUUGGAAACGAUGGCUAAUACCGCAUGAUGCCUACGGGCCAAAGAGGGGGACCUUCGGGCCUCUCGCGUCAGGAUAUGCCUAGGUGGGAUUAGCUAGUUGGUGAGGUAAGGGCUCACCAAGGCGACGAUCCCUAGCUGGUCUGAGAGGAUGAUCAGCCACACUGGAACUGAGACACGGUCCAGACUCCUACGGGAGGCAGCAGUGGGGAAUAUUGCACAAUGGGCGCAAGCCUGAUGCAGCCAUGCCGCGUGUGUGAAGAAGGCCUUCGGGUUGUAAAGCACUUUCAGUCGUGAGGAAGGUGGUAGUGUUAAUAGCACUAUC